GCUGGGUGUGGUGGCGUGCACCUGUAGUCCCAGCUACUCGGGAGGCUGAGGCAGGAGAAUCGCUUGAACCCGGGAGGCAGAGGUUGCAGUGAGCUGAGAUCUUGCCACUGUACUCCAGCCUGGGUGACAAAGGGAGACUCUGUUUCAA
Macaca fascicularis (crab-eating macaque) is the source of this 148-nucleotide unclassified non-coding RNA. It matches the Rfam family "Metazoan signal recognition particle RNA". Rfam says of the family: The signal recognition particle (SRP) is a universally conserved ribonucleoprotein. It is involved in the co-translational targeting of proteins to membranes. The record is from Ensembl. Lineage: Eukaryota; Metazoa; Chordata; Mammalia; Primates; Cercopithecidae.